GACGAACGCUGGCGGCGUGCUUAACACAUGCAAGUCGAACGGAAAGGCCCUGCUUUUGUGGGGUGCUCGAGUGGCGAACGGGUGAGUAACACGUGAGUAACCUGCCCUUGACUUUGGGAUAACUUCAGGAAACUGGGGCUAAUACCGGAUAGGAGCUCCUGCUGCAUGGUGGGGGUUGGAAAGUUUCGGCGGUUGGGGAUGGACUCGCGGCUUAUCAGCUGGUUGGUGGGGUAGUGGCUUACCAAGGCUUUGACGGGUAGCCGGCCUGAGAGGGUGACCGGCCACAUUGGGACUGAGAUACGGACCAGACUCCUACGGGAGGCAGCAGUGGGGAAUAUUGCACAAUGGGCGGAAGCCUGAUGCAGCAACGCCGCGUGCGGGAUGACGGCCUUCGGGUUGUAAACCGCUUUCGCCUGUGACGAAGCGUGAGUGACGGUAAUGGGUAAAGAAGCACCGGCUAACUACGUG
This 468-nucleotide ribosomal RNA is filed under the name uncultured bacterium. Its description in RNAcentral is "partial 16S ribosomal RNA". It matches the Rfam family "Bacterial small subunit ribosomal RNA", at positions 28 to 507 of the family's 1533-position model. The record is from RNAcentral.